RNAcentral lists this transfer RNA (74 nucleotides) under Pangasianodon hypophthalmus (striped catfish). RNAcentral describes it as "tRNA-Lys". Lineage: Eukaryota; Metazoa; Chordata; Actinopteri; Siluriformes; Pangasiidae. The record is from RNAcentral.
UCCCUGGUGGUCUAGUGGCUCAGGAUCCCGCGCUCUUGCUGCCGUCGCCCAGCGUUUGAUUCCCAGGCAGGGAA